RNAcentral lists this ribosomal RNA (335 nucleotides) under uncultured bacterium. RNAcentral describes it as "bacterial SSU rRNA". It matches the Rfam family "Bacterial small subunit ribosomal RNA", at positions 335 to 672 of the family's 1533-position model. The record is from RNAcentral.
ACUCCUACGGGAGGCAGCAGUAAGGAAUAUUGCGCAAUGGACGAAAGUCUGACGCGGCGACGCCGCGUGGGGGAUGAAGGUCUUCGGAUUGUAAACCCCUUUCGGGAGGGAAGAUGGAGUGGGUAACCACCUGGACGGUACCUCCAGAAGCAGCCACGGCUAACUUCGUGCCAGCAGCCGCGGUAAUACGAAGGUGGCAAGCGUUGUUCGGAUUCACUGGGCGUACAGGGAGCGUAGGCGGUUGGGUAAGCCCUCCGUGAAAUCUCCGGGCCUAACCCGGAAAGUGCAGAGGGGACUGCUCAGCUAGAGGAUGGGAGAGGAGCGCGGAAUUCCCG